UACGAAGGGGGCUAGCGUUGCUCGGAAUUACUGGGCGUAAAGGGCGCGUAGGCGGAUACUUAAGUUAGAGGUGAAAGCCCAGGGCUCAACCCUGGAAUAGCCUUUAAUACUGGGUAUCUUGAGUUCGGGAGAGGUGAGUGGAACUCCGAGUGUAGAGGUGAAAUUCGUAGAUAUCGGGAGGAACACCAGUGGCGAAGGCGGCGAUCUGGGUCGAUACUGACGCUGAGGUGCGAAAGCGUGGGGAGCAAACAGG
RNAcentral lists this ribosomal RNA (253 nucleotides) under uncultured bacterium. RNAcentral describes it as "partial 16S ribosomal RNA". It matches the Rfam family "Bacterial small subunit ribosomal RNA", at positions 524 to 776 of the family's 1533-position model. The record is from RNAcentral.